RNAcentral lists this ribosomal RNA (377 nucleotides) under uncultured bacterium. Its description in RNAcentral is "bacterial SSU rRNA". It matches the Rfam family "Bacterial small subunit ribosomal RNA", at positions 523 to 898 of the family's 1533-position model. The record is from RNAcentral.
ACACGAACCGUCCAAACGUUAUUCGGUAUCACUGGGCUUAAAGCGUGCGUAGGCGGCUUAGAAGGUGAGAUGUGAAAGCCCACGGCUCAACCGUGGAACUGCGUUUCAAACCACUAGGCUUGAGGAAGACAGGGGUGAUGGGAACUUAUGGUGGAGCGGUGAAAUGCGUUGAUAUCAUAGGGAACACCGGUGGCGAAAGCGCAUCACUGGGUCCUUUCCGACGCUCAGGCACGAAAGCUAGGGUAGCGAACGGGAUUAGAUACCCCGGUUGUCCUAGCCGUAAACGAUGAGCACUAGGCUGAGGGAACUUCCACAUUCUCUCGGCCGUAGCGAAAGCAUUAAGUGCUCCGCCUGGGGAGUAUGGUCGCAAGGCUGAA